GCGAACGCUGGCGGCAGGCCUAACACAUGCAAGUCGAACGAACUCUUCGGAGUUAGUGGCGGACGGGUGAGUAACACGUGGGAACGUGCCUUUUGGUUCGGAAUAACUCAGGGAAACUUGUGCUAAUACCGAAUGUGCCCUUCGGGGGAAAGAUUUAUCGCCAUUAGAGCGGCCCGCGUCUGAUUAGCUAGUUGGUGAGGUAACGGCUCACCAAGGCGACGAUCAGUAGCUGGUCUGAGAGGAUGACCAGCCACACUGGGACUGAGACACGGCCCAGACUCCUACGGGAGGCAGUAGUGGGGAAUCUUGCGCAAUGGGCGAAAGCCUGACGCAGCCAUGCCGCGUGAAUGAUGAAGGUCUUAGGAUUGUAAAAUUCUUUCACCGGGGACGAUAAUGACGGUACCCGGAGAAGAAGCCCCGGCUAACUUCGUG
Molecule: ribosomal RNA, 432 nt
Filed under: uncultured bacterium
Lineage: Bacteria
Description: partial 16S ribosomal RNA
Rfam family: Bacterial small subunit ribosomal RNA
Source: RNAcentral